Long non-coding RNA from Neopelma chrysocephalum (saffron-crested tyrant-manakin), 263 nucleotides. RefSeq lists it as uncharacterized. The record is from RefSeq and is a predicted model, not a curated record. The transcript has 3 exons. NCBI's taxonomy places the organism in Eukaryota, Metazoa, Chordata, Aves, Passeriformes, Pipridae.
AUUUUUUGGGUCUUCAUCCCCGUUUUGGGUGGAUCCCCCCCCGGUUUUGGACGGUUUCGCCCCCGAUUUUGGGGGUCUGACACUGAUUUUGGGGGUUCCACCCUUGAUUUUGGGGGGUUUCAUCCCGAUUUUGGGGGUCUCACCCUGAUUUUGGGGGUCUUUGUCCCCGUUUUGGGUGGAUCCCUCCCGGUUUUGGGGGGUUCCACCCUUAUUUUGGGGGUCUCGCCCUGAUUUUUUGGGUCUUCAUCCCCGUUUUGGGUGGA